This 3378-nucleotide long non-coding RNA is filed under the name Salmo salar (Atlantic salmon). RNAcentral's name for it is "lncRNA (ENSSSAG00000098458.1)". Lineage: Eukaryota; Metazoa; Chordata; Actinopteri; Salmoniformes; Salmonidae. The record is from RNAcentral.
UAUCAGUGUACAGUUUAUCGACUACGAGAGCUACACAUUUCCCUUUUAGUCUAUUCACUUUGAAGAAUGGGUACAGAACUUUGCUCCAUUCUGCAAGUUCCUUCGGGAACUGAUCAUUCAUGCCUAUUUUCGUCCAAUCAAGUCUUUGGCCCAAGCUUUUAACCAUUAUUUUAUGCUUAAAGAAUGCACAUUUGGCAAUGAUUGUGCACUCAUAUCUCUGUCCUUUCUGUCCAAAACGAUGUACACGUUCGAGUUUGAUUUUGCUGACUGGAAUCUGUAGCGCUUUAACCAGGAAAUGUUUCACCACACUCCCAGAUCUUCACCCUCAUUCUCUUUAAUACCAGACCUGAGCCCUAGGACCAUGCCUCAGAACUACCUGGCAUGAUGACUCCUUGCUGUCCCCAGUCCACCUGGCCGUGCUGCUGCUCCAGUUUCAACUGUUCUGCCUUCGGCUAUGGAACCCUGACCUGUUCACCGGACGUGCUUGUUGCACCCUCGACAACUACUAUGAUUAUUAUUAUUUGACCAUGCUGGUCAUUUAUGAACAUUUUAACAUCUUGACCAUGUUCUGUUAUAAUAUCCACCCGGCACAGCCAGAAGAGGACUGGCCACCCCUCAUAGCCUGGUUCCUCUCUAGGUUUCUUCCUAGGUUUUUGGCCUUUCUAGGGAGUUUUUCCUAGGGAGUUUUUCCUAGCCACCGUGCUUCUUUCACAUGCAUUGCUUGCUGUUUGGGGUUUUAGGCUGGGUUUCUGUACAGCACUUUGAGAUGUCAGCUGAUGUACGAAGGGCUAUAUAAAUAAAUUUGAUUAGAUUUUUGAUUUGAUGAUAUAACCCAGGAAGGGGAUGGUGGAGCGAUGGAAUUCACACUUUUCCGCUUUCACAAAAAGCUGGUUCUCCAGGAGGCUUUGGAAAUCUGUCGGAUGUGGAGCACGUGUUCUUGGGCGGAGCGGGAGAAGACGAGGAUGUCGUCGAGGUAGACGAAGACGAACCGGUUCAACAUGUCACGGAGAACAUCAUUAACCAGAGCCUGGAACACAGCUGGGGCGUUGGUAAGGCCAAAUGGCAUGACCAGAUACUCAUAGUGACUGCUGGCCAUGUUGAAGGCAGUCUUCCACUCAUCCCCUUCCUGUAUCUGCACCAGGUGGUAGGCAUUCCGUAGGUCCAGCUUGGAGAACGCGGUGGCCCCCUGGGUGCGGCCGAGGAGAUGAGUGGUAGCGGUUCUUCAACGUGAUGUUGUUGAGGCCCCGGUAGUCGAUGCACGAGUGCAGGGUUUUGUCCUUAUUCACCACAAAGAAGAACCCUGUGCCGGCGGGGGAGGCAGAAGGACGGAUGAACCCUGCAGCUAGGUCGUCCUCAAUGUAGGUCUCCACAGCCUUGGUCUCCGAGUAUAGUCGUCCUCGGGGCAGAGUGGUGCCUGAGAGAAGGUCAAUCCUGCAGUCAUAGGGUCGGUGCGGCAAAAACGAAGUGGCCUGGGCCUUACUGAACACCUCCCGGGCCUUACUGAACACCUUCCGGAGGUCCUGGUAUUCCGCGUGAAUGGCGGAGAUGUCCGGGCAACUUCCGAGCCCACAGGAAGACAUCCUGGGGCAGAUUGUGACUUCAGACAAUCGGCGUGGCAGAACGGGCUUCAAACCAUAAUGGCACCAGCAGUCCAGUUUAUGAUGGAUUGUGUCACUGGGGCCAAGAGAAUCCCAAUACCACGAGAACCUGAGGAGACCUAAUCAGCAUAUUUUGGAUUGCCUCGCUGUGGUUCCCUGACACUCAUAGCUUGAUGGGAGUGGUAUUGUGAGUGACCCGGCCUAUAGAGUGCUCGUCCAGCGCUCUAACAUCCAUGGGAUUGGAGAGGGGCUGAGUAGGGAUGCCAAGCUCGAACGUCAGGGUAGCUCCAAAAACCUAUUUUCGGACCCAGAUGAGUACCCGGAGAGAUUUUGACUGGUUCCCCACAUCAGGAUGGCAUGGAAAGGGGUGCGAGUAAGGGGAGAGCAAUAAGUUCUCCAUAAGGCCCACCAGAGUACUCGCCCCUUCUUGAUGAGCCAGGUUCUUUAAUGGCCAGGUUGCCAUGAAAUGUCCCGUAGCUCCACAAUAUAGACAGCUCUGGGUGUGGAUAUGGCAUAAGCACUCAGCCGGAGUCAAUCUAGCCCUGCCCAGGUGCUUGGACUCUGAAGGAGGCAAGUCAGCAGCCCUCGGUGAUUCCCGAGAGAACUCGGGUGACGUCGGGUUCACUCGGACAUGUAGAUUUCGGGGGUCUCCGGGAUUCGUCUGAGGCAAGGUGGGAAUCGAGGGCGAAUAAGGACAACUGCGCACAGAUUCCCUCUCCCUCCUACGUUCUUAAUGUUGCCCAUCAAUCCGGAUGGUCAAAGCUAUGAGGGAGUCAAGGUCCAUGGGCAGCUACCGGGCUGCAAGCUCAUCUUUGACCACCUCUGAUAAUCCGUGAAGAAACAUGUCAAACAAUGUUUCCGGGUUCCAGGCACUCAGCCACCAACGUGCGAAAAUUCACAACGUAGUCAAUGUGGAUGACCCGCUGCCCAGUGGGGAAUCCGCGGAAUUGCUCCAGCAAAGUCUCAAACGCCUGGUCAUGGCAUUCUGUCAGUGUAUGGAGUCCCUCCAUAAGACAUUGCAGUGACUCCUUGUGUCGUCCAAUGGUGGUUAUUUACUGGGAGACAGCAUUGUGAAGCCGGUCUGAGUCUGCUGGGUCGGUCAUGGCCAGUUCGUACUAUAACAUUUUAGAGAAGACCCAGAUGCAGACAGUGUCGAAGUAACAAACGUUUAUUACUAGAACAGGGGGCAGGCAGGCUCAGGGCAGGCAGAAUGGUCAAAACCGGGAAAACUAGAAAACAGGAACCAUAGAAAAGACAGGAGCAAGGGGAAAAGCGUUUCUAUGCUUGACGAACAAAGCGAACUGGCAACAGAAGAACAGAGAACAUAGGUAUAAAUACACAGGGGAUAAUGAGGAGAGAUGGAAGACACCUGGUGGGGGGUAGAGACAAGCACAAAGACAGGUGAAACUAAUCUGGGUGUGACAACAACCUGAAUAUAAAAUUGAUUAAAUGUAGAUGUUUUGUCACUGGCCAACACACAGCACCCCAUAACUUCAAAGUGGAAUUGUGUUUUUUGACAUUUUUACAAAUGAAUAAAAAAUAUAAAUCUGAAAUGUCAUGAGUCAAUAAUUAAUCAACCCCUUUCUUACGGCAAGCCUAAAUAAGUAAAAUGCAUAAAAAAGUACAAAUGUGCUUAACAAGUCACAUAAUAAGUUGCAUGGAUAUACACUGUGUGCAACAAUAGUGUUAAACAUGAUUUUUGAAUGACUACCUUAUCUCUGUACCUCCCACAUACAAUUAUAUGUAAGGUUCCUCAGUCAAGUAGUGAAUUUCAAACACA